UCACAGCUUUGCUUUCAGGAGCG
RNAcentral lists this microRNA (23 nucleotides) under Drosophila ananassae. RNAcentral describes it as "Dan-Mir-2-P3a-v2_3p (mature (guide))". Lineage: Eukaryota; Metazoa; Arthropoda; Insecta; Diptera; Drosophilidae. The record is from RNAcentral.